CACAAGGGAGCUUGCUCCCUGGGUGACGAGCGGCGGACGGGUGAGUAAUGUCUGGGAAACUGCCUGAUGGAGGGGGAUAACUACUGGAAACGGUACCUAAUACCGCAUAACGUCGCAAGACCAAAGAGGGGGACCUUCGGGCCUCUUGCCAUCAGAUGUGCCCAGAUGGGAUUAUCUAUUAGGUGGGGUAAUGGCUCACCUAGGCGACCAUCCCUAGCUGGUCUGAGAGGAUGACCAGCCGCCCUGGAACUGAUACCCGGUCCACACUCCUACGGGAGGCAGCAGUGGGGAAUAUUGCACAAUGGGCGCAAGCCUGAUGCAGCCAUGCCGCGUGUGGGAAGAAGGCCUUCGGGUUGUAAAGCACUUUCAGCGAGGAGGAAGGUGGUGAACUUAAUACGUUCAUCAAUUGACGUUACUCGCAAAAGAAGCACCGGCUAACUCCGUGCCAGCAGCCGCGGUAAUACGGAGGGUGCAAGCGUUAAUCGGAAUUACUGGGCGUAAAGCGCACGCAGGCGGUUUGUUAAGUCAGAUGUGAAAUCCCCGGGCUCAACCUGGGAACUGCAUUUGAAACUGGAAAGCUAGAGUCUCGUAGAGGGGGGUAGAAUUCCGGGUGUAGCGGUGAAAUGCGUAUAGAUCUGGAGGAGUACUGGUGGCGAAUGCGGCCCCCUGUACUAACACUGACGCUCAAGUGCAAAAGCGUGCGGAGCACACGGGAUUACAUACCCUGGUAGUCCACGCUGUAAACGAUGUCNAUUUGAAGGUUGUGCCCUUGAGGCGUGCCUUCCGGAGCUAACGCGUUAAAUCGACCGCCUGGGGAGUACCGCCGCUAGGUUAAAACUAAAUGAAUUGACGGGGGCACGCACAAUCGGUGCAGCAUGUGGUUUAAUUCGAUGCAUCGCGAUAACCUUCCCUACUCUC
RNAcentral lists this ribosomal RNA (918 nucleotides) under Serratia marcescens. RNAcentral's name for it is "bacterial SSU rRNA". It matches the Rfam family "Bacterial small subunit ribosomal RNA", at positions 69 to 982 of the family's 1533-position model. Lineage: Bacteria; Pseudomonadati; Pseudomonadota; Gammaproteobacteria; Enterobacterales; Yersiniaceae. The record is from RNAcentral.